GACGAACGCUGGCGGCGUGCUUAACACAUGCAAGUCGAACGGAAAGGCCCUGCUUUUGUGGGGUGCUCGAGUGGCGAACGGGUGAGUAACACGUGAGUAACCUGCCCUUGACUUUGGGAUAACUUCAGGAAACUGGGGCUAAUACCGGAUAGGAGCUCCUGCUGCAUGGUGGGGGUUGGAAAGUUUCGGCGGUUGGGGAUGGACUCGCGGCUUAUCAGCUUGUUGGUGGGGUAGUGGCUUACCAAGGCUUUGACGGGUAGCCGGCCUGAGAGGGUGACCGGCCACAUUGGGACUGGGAACCGGCCCAGCCCCUUAGGGGGGGCAGGGGUGGGGAAUUUUGAACAAGGGGCGGAGGCCUGAUGCAGCACCGCCGCGGGCGGGAUGCCGGCCUUCGGGUUGUAAACCGUUUUCGCCUGGGACGAAGCGUGGGUGACGGUAAUGGGUAAAGAAGCACCGGCUAACUACGU
This 467-nucleotide ribosomal RNA is filed under the name uncultured bacterium. Its description in RNAcentral is "partial 16S ribosomal RNA". It matches the Rfam family "Bacterial small subunit ribosomal RNA", at positions 28 to 506 of the family's 1533-position model. The record is from RNAcentral.